RNAcentral lists this ribosomal RNA (432 nucleotides) under uncultured bacterium. Its description in RNAcentral is "partial 16S ribosomal RNA". It matches the Rfam family "Bacterial small subunit ribosomal RNA", at positions 29 to 507 of the family's 1533-position model. The record is from RNAcentral.
AACGAACGCUGGCGGCAUGCCUAACACAUGCAAGUCGAACGAGACCUUCGGGUCUAGUGGCGCACGGGUGCGUAACGCGUGGGAACCUGCCCUUAGGUUCGGAAUAACUCCCGAAAGGGGUGCUAAUACCGGAUAAUGUCUUCGGACCAAAGAUUUAUCGCCUUUGGAUGGGCCCGCGUUGGAUUAGCUAGUUGGUAGGGUAAAAGCCUACCAAGGCGACGAUCCAUAGCUGGUCUGAGAGGAUGAUCAGCCACACUGGGACUGAGACACGGCCCAGACUCCUACGGGAGGCAGCAGUGGGGAAUAUUGGACAAUGGGCGAAAGCCUGAUCCAGCAAUGCCGCGUGAGUGAUGAAGGCCUUAGGGUUGUAAAGCUCUUUUACCCGGGAUGAUAAUGACAGUACCGGGAGAAUAAGCGCCGGCUAACUCCGUG